RNAcentral lists this RNase P RNA (405 nucleotides) under Sedimentisphaerales bacterium. RNAcentral's name for it is "RNase P RNA component class A". It matches the Rfam family "Bacterial RNase P class A". Rfam says of the family: Ribonuclease P (RNase P) is a ubiquitous endoribonuclease, found in archaea, bacteria and eukarya as well as chloroplasts and mitochondria. Lineage: Bacteria; Pseudomonadati; Planctomycetota; Phycisphaerae; Sedimentisphaerales. The record is from RNAcentral.
AGGGCGUGUCGGGCGGUCGCUUCGUUCUCGUUUCGGGAGCGGGGAGGAAAGUCCGAGCAGGACAGGGCACGGUGACGGCUAACAGCCGCCGCCCCCGCGCUUGCUUUCGCAAGAAAGCAGCGGGGGUCGGGAUAGUGCCACAGAAAAUACACAGCCCACGUCCCGGGUAACCGGGGCAGGCAAUGGUGAAAUGGUGCGGUAAGAGCGCACCGCGGGCCUGGUAACAGUCCCGGCAGGGCAAACCCCACCGCCUGUAAGACCAAGCAGCCGGCUUGUCUCGCCCCUUUGGGGCGGGCGCCCGGCCCGGGCAUUGCCGGCGGGUAGGUCGCUUGAGCCGAUUGGCAACAGUCGGCCCAGAUAAAUGACCGUCUAAAACAGAACUCGGCUUACGGACCCGCCCUUUCG